This 404-nucleotide ribosomal RNA is filed under the name uncultured bacterium. RNAcentral describes it as "bacterial SSU rRNA". It matches the Rfam family "Bacterial small subunit ribosomal RNA", at positions 355 to 775 of the family's 1533-position model. The record is from RNAcentral.
UAGGGAAUAUUGGUGAAUGGGCGAAAGCCUGAACCAGCAACGCCGCGUGUGCGAUGAAGGCCUUCGGGUUGUAAAGCACUUUUCACCGGGAAGAGGAAGGACGGUACCGGUGGAAUAAGCCUCGGCUAACUACGUGCCAGCAGCCGCGGUAAAACGUAGGAGGCGAGCGUUAUCCGGAUUUACUGGGUGUAAAGCGCGAGCAGGCGGCUCGUUAAGUUGGGUGUAAAAGCUCCCGGCUCAACUGGGAGAAGUCGCUCAAGACUGGCGAGCUAGAGGGUGGUAGAGGAAGGUGGAAUUCCGGGUGUAGUGGUGAAAUGCGUAGAUAUCCGGAGGAACACCAGUGGCGAAAGCGGCCUUCUGGGCCACACCUGACGCUCAGAGGCGAAAGCUAGGGUAGCAAACGG